This 775-nucleotide ribosomal RNA is filed under the name uncultured bacterium. RNAcentral's name for it is "bacterial SSU rRNA". It matches the Rfam family "Bacterial small subunit ribosomal RNA", at positions 87 to 846 of the family's 1533-position model. The record is from RNAcentral.
ACCAGUGAGCGGCGGACGGGUGAGUAACACGUGGGCAACCUGCCCUGAAGCGGGGGAUAACAUUUGGAAGCAGGUGCUAAUACCGCAUAACAACGAAAACCACAUGGUUUUCGUUUCAAAGAUGGUUUCGGCUAUCACUUCAGGAUGGGCCCGCGGUGCAUUAGCUUGUUGGUAGGGUAACGGCCUACCAAGGCAAUGAUGCAUAGCCGAGUUGAGAGACUGAUCGGCCACAAUGGAACUGAGACACGGUCCAUACUCCUACGGGAGGCAGCAGUAGGGAAUCUUCCACAAUGGGCGCAAGCCUGAUGGAGCGACACCGCGUGAGUGAAGAAGGGUUUCGGCUCGUAAAGCUCUGUUGUUGAAGAAGAACGUGCGUGAGAGUAACUGUUCACGCAGUGACGGUAUUCAACCAGAAAGUCACGGCUAACUACGUGCCAGCAGCCGCGGUAAUACGUAGGUGGCAAGCGUUAUCCGGAUUUAUUGGGCGUAAAGCGAGCGCAGGCGGUUGCUUAAGUCUGAUGUGAAAGCCUUCGGCUUAACCGAAGAAGUGCAUCGGAAACUGAGCGACUUGAGUGCAGAAGAGGACAGUGGAACUCCAUGUGUAGCGGUGGAAUGCGUAGAUAUAUGGAAGAACACCAGUGGCGAAGGCGGCUGUCUGGUCUGCAACUGACGCUGAGGCUCGAAAGCAUGGUGUAGCGAACAGGAUUAGAUACCCUGGUAGUCCAUGCCGUAAACGAUGAGUGCUAGGUGUUGGAGGGUUUCCGCCCUUCAGUGC